This 305-nucleotide ribosomal RNA is filed under the name uncultured bacterium. RNAcentral's name for it is "bacterial SSU rRNA". It matches the Rfam family "Bacterial small subunit ribosomal RNA", at positions 338 to 660 of the family's 1533-position model. The record is from RNAcentral.
CCUACGGGGCGCAGCAGUGGGGAAUAUUGCACAAUGGGCGAAAGCCUGAUGCAGCGACGCCGCGUGAAGGAUGAAGUAUUUCGGUAUGUAAACUUCUAUCAGCAGGGAAGAAAAUGACGGUACCUGACUAAGAAGCCCCGGCUAACUACGUGCCAGCAGCCGCGGUAAUACGUAGGGGGCAAGCGUUAUCCGGAUUUACUGGGUGUAAAGGGAGCGUAGACGGCGAUGCAAGCCAGAUGUGAAAGCCCGGGGCUCAACCCCGGGACUGCAUUUGGAACUGUAUGGCUGGAGUGUCGGAGAGGCAA